RNAcentral lists this ribosomal RNA (492 nucleotides) under uncultured bacterium. RNAcentral describes it as "partial 16S ribosomal RNA". It matches the Rfam family "Bacterial small subunit ribosomal RNA", at positions 29 to 507 of the family's 1533-position model. The record is from RNAcentral.
AGUGAACGCUGGCGGUAGGCCUAACACAUGCAAGUCGAACGGCAGCACAGUAAGAGCUUGCUCUUACGGGUGGCGAGUGGCGGACGGGUGAGGAAUACAUCGGAAUCUACUUUUUCGUGGGGGAUAACGUAGGGAAACUUACGCUAAUACCGUAUACGACCUACGGGUGAAAGCAGGGGAUCUUCGGACCUUGCGCGAUUGAAUGAGCCGAUGUCGGAUUAGCUAGUUGGCGGGGUAAAGGCCCACCAAGGCGACGAUCCGUAGCUGGUCUGAGAGGAUGAUCAGCCACACUGGAACUGAGACACGGUCCAGACUCCUACGGGAGGCAGCAGUGGGGAAUAUUGGACAAUGGGCGCAAGCCUGAUCCAGCCAUACCGCGUGGGUGAAGAAGGCCUUCGGGUUGUAAAGCCCUUUUGUUUGGAAAGAAAAGCAGCAGGUUAAUACCCCGCUGUUCUGACGGUACCCAAAGAAUAAGCACCGGCUAACUUCGUG